GGUAAGGUGGCCGAGUGGUUAAGGCGUUGGAUUUAAGAGUGAUAUGUAUCACCUUGAAGUUCCCCAAUGACGAGAGUCUCCAGGGUUCGAACCCCUGUCUUACCA
Molecule: transfer RNA, 105 nt
Filed under: Aspergillus fijiensis CBS 313.89
Lineage: Eukaryota; Fungi; Ascomycota; Eurotiomycetes; Eurotiales; Aspergillaceae
Description: tRNA-Leu
Rfam family: tRNA
About the family: Transfer RNA (tRNA) molecules are approximately 80 nucleotides in length. Their secondary structure includes four short double-helical elements and three loops (D, anti-codon, and T loops).
Source: RNAcentral